This 1236-nucleotide long non-coding RNA is filed under the name Lotus japonicus. RNAcentral describes it as "long non-coding RNA (LJAP_LNC002138)". The record is from RNAcentral. Lineage: Eukaryota; Viridiplantae; Streptophyta; Magnoliopsida; Fabales; Fabaceae.
GAGUUUUACUUCAGUUAUGACCUACAGAAGAAGACAUUGUUUGUGUCAACAAUUUUGAAAUCACAUUUCAGUUUUUCUAACGCUAAAAUGAAGUUUAUUUCCAGUAAGCAGCCUGUUACUUUUUUUAUUUCAAAAUCCAGUUUUGAUUCUCCUUAUAUAAUUUUACUACGUUACACCCCCUCAUUUUAAACUAAAAGUUUUGUCUUAUUUUAUUUGAUUAAAUUAAUCUUGAAUUUAAUUCUUUAAAUUACUGAAUAAUAUCUUACGCAUCAUUUUUCAAUUAUUUUAAUAAAAAAUCUCUAUAUUAAAUGAUUAUAAACAUUAGCUAAUUAAAAUAAUUAAAUAAUAAAAAAUUAAUAUUGUAUAAUUGAAUAAUAAAUUGAUACGAUAUGACUUGCAUUCUGUAAAUUAUUUAAAUUAAGAAAAACUAAUUUUAUAAAUUUUAUCUCAAAUUGGUUUCAAUUUAUCCUAUCAAAAUAUUAUUCACUUUUCUAAAGUUUAUAACCAUUGUCUCCGAACGAUAGCUCAAGUGGUAAGAGUCAGGGGACGUGUGAGUUGGGUGGGGGAGAUCUAGAGAUCAAUCUCUGGUGGAUGCAACUUAUCUUUUCAAUGUACCAAAAAAUGUUAUUACCAUUAGCAAGCACAUAUUUGAGCGCAGUAGCAGCAGCCCUGCGCAAGGAGCUUUGCCUGCAAUGGGGUGCUUGGUACACCUGAAAUGAAUAAAUAAAAUCAGCCGUAAUAUAAUUUGUAAUGCAGCAUAUGAAGAGAUAAGUUGAUUGUACGCACCAUGUGAUUCAGAAUAAACGUUAAUUGUUAUUGCAGAUGGAAUUGGAGAUGCAAGGAAAAGAGGUGUUAUCGGUUGUUCAAUGUUAGCGUCAAAUGCACUUUCUACUUCCAUGUCAGACAAAACUCAUCAGGAAUGUCACAUUCAUAACGUUCAUCCUCAUCUUUUGAAACAAUGACAUAAGCAUCCACUUUAUGGUCGAUUUGGUGAUCAUCAUUGGCCAAGUUAACCGUGGGAUCCACAAUGCAAUAUUCUGCUCUAGAAACUCACUGCUCGAUACAUCUAUCACCUUCAUCGUUUAAUGUCUGUGCAUUUAUCGGAUUCAUUGUGACAAAUAUUGAUGAACUUCCAACCUGAUCAAUAUCAACGUGCAACUCCAACACUAUCAUCAAUAAUUGCUGCUUAAAGUCAUUGAUCAUGCAUUCCACGUCCUCGUCAUCAAAUACUUGAAG